UACGUAGGGUCCGAGCGUUGUCCGGAUUUAUUGGGCGUAAAGCGCUCGCAGGUGGUUCGUUGCGUCGUGCGUGAAAGGCCCCGGCUCAACUGGGGAGGGUCGUGCGAUACGGGCGGACUGGAGGCCAGUAGGGGGAUGCGGAAUUCCGGGUGUAGUGGUGGAAUGCGUAGAGAUCCGGAGGAACACCAGCGGCGAAAGCGGCACCCUGGCAUUGACCUGACGCUCAGGUGCGAAAGCGUGGGGAGCGAACGGG
RNAcentral lists this ribosomal RNA (253 nucleotides) under uncultured bacterium. RNAcentral's name for it is "partial 16S ribosomal RNA". It matches the Rfam family "Bacterial small subunit ribosomal RNA", at positions 524 to 776 of the family's 1533-position model. The record is from RNAcentral.